RNAcentral lists this ribosomal RNA (196 nucleotides) under uncultured bacterium. RNAcentral describes it as "partial 16S ribosomal RNA". It matches the Rfam family "Bacterial small subunit ribosomal RNA", at positions 1305 to 1500 of the family's 1533-position model. The record is from RNAcentral.
CUGCAACUCGCCUGUAUGAAGUCGGAAUUGCUAGUAAUCGCGGAUCAGCAUGCCGCGGUGAAUACGUUCCCGGGUCUUGUACACACCGCCCGUCACACCAUGGGAGCCGGAAAUGCCCGAAGCCAGUGACCCAACCUUAGGGAGGGAGCUGUCGAAGGUGGAGCCGGUAACUGGGGUGAAGUCGUAACAAGGUAUC